AUGUGUAAAGCCCGGGGCUCAACCUCGGAAUUGCAUUUGAAACUGGCAAACUAGAGUACUGUAGAGGGGGUAGAAUUUCAGGUGUAGCGGUGAAAUGCGUAGAGAUCUGAAGGAAUACCGGUGGCGAAGGCGGCCCCCUGGACAGAUACUGACACUCAGAUGCGAAAGCGUGGGGAGCAAACAGGAUUAGAUACCCUGGUAG
This 202-nucleotide ribosomal RNA is filed under the name uncultured bacterium. RNAcentral describes it as "partial 16S ribosomal RNA". It matches the Rfam family "Bacterial small subunit ribosomal RNA", at positions 592 to 793 of the family's 1533-position model. The record is from RNAcentral.